GAUUUAAAACUUCCACUUGAAACUAGGCAAUGGUGCUUCUUCUCACCCAAUUUCACUUCCUGGCUGGGAAAUGAGUCUUCUGUGGAGGACAGGGUCCACGGUGCCUUUGAUAGAGGAUGGGUCAAAGUGUUAAGGGUAGGAGAGUGGGCGUACCUUGGCCUCAGGAAUCAAAGCUGAGGGCCAAAGGCCAACUGACUUCUAGUUACCCUUGCCAAGUUCUAGAUAGCUUGCCUGAGUGACCUCAUUGGUGACCCUGAGCAAAUUCCCUCAUGCUCUGACCCUCAGGGGCCUCCUAGGUAAAGUAGAUAUAGCAGUAGCAUUGGCCCAUAGGUGAUGAUACAAAUAACUCUCAUAAAACCCUGCCUGGAACACAGUACUGAGCAAACGUGAGAUGUCACCUGUGUGAUCAUCAUCUCAAAAGUAAAUAGAUCAGGGUCUUGGUAAGUAAGCUUUGCUUAUGCCUGGUUUUGUUGGGUUGGUUCCUCCUUCACAGUGAGGGAGGGCUGAGUGCUUGUCUCUGGAGGCAGAAGGAAUUGUGAGCACAGAGGGCUUGGGGAGAAGAGCUCUGUAUGGUCGGGCUACUCAAGAUGGCCAUUCUCUUGCUCUCUGCACAUCUUCUGCCCGACCAGUGUCUGCUUCACCUCUAUCUUACCCACACAACUGACCUUUCUAUGUGCUUGCCCCUGGCCCUAGCGAGUCAUCAUUCUUGUCAAAGGGCCAAUGAGGAGCAUGUCCCACUACUGGUUUCUGUGGUAACUAAUGAGCCCACCUGAUGUCAAUCCCCUUAUAACUGGUAAACUCCCCUUCCCCUUGGGAAGUAGUGAAGCGUACCACCAUGUCCUGCCCACUGCCAUCUGCUGCACACAGUAGGGUGUCACCCCAGGACCUUGCUUCAGACAUGCCCAUCGAGAACCUCUAACAGUGACAAAAGGGCAUUUUCAACCUCAGGCUCUAGGCUGAGACUUGAAGACAUGAAGAGGCAGUCUCCAGAGUCAGGGGCCUGCUGGGCUCUUCCUUGCCUGGCUUAUGAAGGAUACCUAUGGAAAGCAGAGGUCCAGCAUGUUUCCCACGCCAAUGGUUAUUAGCAUGCUCACCAAGGAUAAACCAUGGAGCAUCUGCAAGACCAUCAGUCCAGUGUUGCAUGCUGGUGAUAUGCAUAAACGGACCUGACUGAGAACGGUGGAGGGCUUCCCAGGUGGCUCAGUGGUAAAGAAUCUGCCUCCCAAUGCAGGACACAUGAAUUUGCUCCCUGGGUUGGGAAGAUCCCCUGGAGAAGG
This is a long non-coding RNA of Bubalus bubalis (water buffalo), 1277 nucleotides long. RefSeq lists it as uncharacterized. The transcript has 4 exons. The record is from RefSeq and is a predicted model, not a curated record. NCBI's taxonomy places the organism in Eukaryota, Metazoa, Chordata, Mammalia, Artiodactyla, Bovidae.